UUAAGGGUGCAGGGCGGAUGCCUUGGCACUAGGAGCCGAUGAAGGACGUGAUAAGCUGCGAUAAGCUUCGGGGAGUUGCACGUAAACUUUGAUCCGAAGAUUUCCGAAUGAGGAAACUCACUUAGAGUAAUGUCUAAGUAUCAUUAAGUGAAUACAUAGCUUAAUGAGGGGAACUCAGGGAACUGAAACAUCUAAGUACCUGAAGGAAGAGAAAGAAAUUCGAUUCCGUAAGUAGCGGCGAGCGAACGCGGAUUAGCCCAAACCAAUAAAGUUUUCUUUAUUGGGGUUGCGGACAUAUCAUAACGAAGAGGUAUCGUAAUUGAAGAGGUUUGGAAAGACCCACCACAGAAGGUAAUAGUCCUGUAUGUUAAACGAGAAGACUUCAGAUAUGAUCCAGAGUACCACGGGACACGUGAAACCCUGUGGGAAGCAGGAGGGACCACCCUCCAAGGCUAAAUACUACCUAGUGACCGAUAGCGUAUAGUACCGUGAGGGAAAGGUGAAAAGAACCCCGGGAGGGGAGUGAAAUAGAACCUGAAACCCUGCACUUACAAGCUGUGGAAGCACAUUUCUUGUGUGACCGCGUACUUUUUGUAGAACGGGCCAACGAGUUACGUUAAGUAGCAAGGUUAAGCACUUAAGGUGCGGAGCCGUAGCGAAAGCGAGUUUUAACUGAGCGUUCAGUUACUUGACGUAGACCCGAAACCGGGCGACCUACCCAUGAGCAGGAUGAAGCGAAAGUAAAAUUUCGUGGAGGUCCGAACCCACGAGCGUUGAAAAGCUCGGGGAUGACUUGUGGGUAGCGGUGAAAUUCCAAUCGAGCCCGGAGAUAGCUGGUUCUCCCCGAAAUAGCUUUAGGGCUAGCCUCAAGGUGAGAGAUACGGAGGUAGAGCACUGAAUGUCCUAGGGGGUAUUGCACCUACCGAAGACUAUCAAACUCCGAAUGCCGUCAUCUUAUACUUGGGAGUCAGACUGUGGGUGAUAAGAUUCAUAGUCGAAAGGGCAACAGCCCAGAUCGUCAGCUAAGGUCCCUAAAUGUAAGUUAAGUGGUAAAGGAUGUGGGAUUGCACAGACAACCAGGAUGUUGGCUUAGAAGCAGCCACUCAUUCAAAGAGUGCGUAAUAGCUCACUGGUCGAGUGAUCCUGCGCCGAAGAUUUCCGGGGCUAAAACUUACUACCGAAGCUACGGCAUCAGUAAUGAUGGGUAGGGGAGCUUCCCAUACGGGUUGAAGCAUGACCGUAAGGACAUGUGGACAGUAUGGGAGUGAGAAUGUUGGCAUGAGUAGCGAGAUGUGGGUGAGAAUCCCACAGGCCGUAAACCCAAGGUUUCCAGGGGAAGGUUCGUCCGCCCUGGGUUAGUCGGGACCUAAGCUGAGGCCGAAAGGCGUAGGUGAUGGACAACAGGUUGAUAUUCCUGUACUACCGAUAACCGUUUGAGAGAAGGGAUGACACAGUAGGAUAAGCUAAGCACACUGUUGGUUAUGUGUGCCCAAGCAUUGAGGCAGUCAAAGUAGGCAAAUCCGCUUUGAUAAUGCUGGGAUGUGAUGGGGAGCGAAAUUUAGUAGCGAAGUAGCUGAUUUCACACUGUCAAGAAAAGUCUCUAUCGAGGUUAAAGGUACCCGUACCGCAAACCGACACAGGUGGGUGAGGAGAGUAUCCUAAGGCCAGCGAGAGAACUGUUGUUAAGGAACUCGGCAAAAUGACCCCGUAACUUAGGGAUAAGGGGUGCCACCAUCAGGUGGCCGCAGAGAAUAGGCCCAAGCGACUGUUUACCAAAAACAUAGGUUUCUGCUAAGUCGCAAGACGAUGUAUAGGAGCUGACGCCUGCCCGGUGCUGGAAGGUUAAGGGGAUCUGUUAGAGCAAUCGAAGCAGUGAACUUAAGCCCCAGUAAACGGCGGCCGUAACUAUAACGGUCCUAAGGUAGCGAAAUUCCUUGUCGGGUAAGUUCCGACCCGCACGAAAGGCGUAACGAUUUGGGCACUGUCUCAACAACAGACUCGGUGAAAUUGUAAUUCCGGUGAAGAUGCCGGAUACCUGCGACAGGACGGAAAGACCCCAUGGAGCUUUACUGUAGCUUGACAUUGGGUCUUGGUACUACAUGUACAGGAUAGGUGGGAGGCUUUGAAACCAGGACGCCAGUUUUGGCGGAGCCAUCCUUGGGAUACCACCCUUGUAGUACUGGGACUCUAACCAUAGGCCAUGAAUCUGGUCUUGGGACACUGUCAGGUGGGCAGUUUGACUGGGGCGGUCGCCUCCCAAAAGGUAACGGAGGCGCUCAAAGGUUCUCUCAGUACGGUCGGAAAUCGUACGUAGAGUGUAAAGGCAAAAGAGAGCUUGAUUGCAAGACAUACAGGUCGAGCAAGGAUGAAAAUCGGACUUAGUGAUCCGGUGGUUCUGCGUGGAAGGGCCAUCGCUCAACGGAUAAAAGCUACCCUGGGGAUAACAGGCUUAUCUCCCCCAAGAGUCCACAUCGACGGGGAGGUUUGGCACCUCGAUGUCGGCUCAUCACAUCCUGGGGCUGUAGUAGGUCCCAAGGGUUGGGCUGUUCGCCCAUUAAAGUGGUACGCGAGCUGGGUUCAGAACGUCGUGAGACAGUUCGGUCCCUAUCCGUCGCAGGCGUAGGAAAUU
Molecule: ribosomal RNA, 2629 nt
Filed under: Clostridioides difficile
Lineage: Bacteria; Bacillati; Bacillota; Clostridia; Peptostreptococcales; Peptostreptococcaceae
Description: bacterial LSU rRNA
Rfam family: Bacterial large subunit ribosomal RNA
Source: RNAcentral